RNAcentral lists this ribosomal RNA (718 nucleotides) under uncultured archaeon. RNAcentral's name for it is "bacterial SSU rRNA". It matches the Rfam family "Archaeal small subunit ribosomal RNA", at positions 107 to 778 of the family's 1478-position model. The record is from RNAcentral.
AUCUGCCCUUCGUACUGGCAUACCCUCGGGAAAUUGAGGUUAAUUCCAGAUGGCCCACCUGUGCUGGAAUGCUCGGUGGGCAAAACGGCGCGUGAAUUGAAGCGCGUCCGCCGAAUGAUUAGACUGCUCCUGAUUAGGUAGUUGGUGAGGUAACGGCUCCCCAAGCCGAUAAUCAGUANGGGCAAUGGGAGUUGGACCCCCGAAAGCGGCACUGAGACAAGGGCCCUAGUCCUACGGGAUGCGCCAGGCGCCAAACCUUUGUUAUGCCCAAAAGCUUGAUAAGGGAACUCUGAUUGUCAGCCGGCUUUUGCCGACCGUCUUUUGGCGAACCUAAACCGUUCGCAGAAUACCUUCUGGGUAACACCACUGCCAGCCGCCAUGAGGAUACUCAUAUUGCGCACGGCACUCGGUAAUACUGGCAGAACUAGUGGUGCCCACCAAUCUUGGGUCUAAAGAGACCGUAACUGGCCUGCUACAUCCACUGGGAAAUCUUGGGGCUUACCCUCCAGGCGUGCAGUGAAUACUGACAUGCUUGAAAGAGCAGGAGGUCAGGAGUACUUCCAGUGUAACGGUAAAAUCUGUUGAUCCUGUAAGGACUACCAGUGGCGAGGGCGCCAGACCAAAACGCUUCUGACUGUGAGCGUUGAAGGCUANGAGAACGAAUCGGAUAAGAUACCCGAGUAGCCCUAGCGGUAAAUCAUGCAUACUGUGCUGUUGC